This 253-nucleotide ribosomal RNA is filed under the name uncultured bacterium. Its description in RNAcentral is "partial 16S ribosomal RNA". It matches the Rfam family "Bacterial small subunit ribosomal RNA", at positions 524 to 776 of the family's 1533-position model. The record is from RNAcentral.
GACAGAGGGUGCAAACGUUGUUCGGAAUUACUGGGCGUAAAGCGCGUGUAGGCGGCUCGGAAAGUCGGGUGUGAAAGCCCUGGGCUCAACCUAGGAAGUGCACUCGAAACUUCCGAGCUGGAGUUCUGGAGAGGAAGGCGGAAUUCUCGGUGUAGAGGUGAAAUUCGUAGAUAUCGAGAGGAACACCGGUGGCGAAGGCGCACAUCUGGCCCGAUACUGACGCUGAUGCGCGAAAGCGUGGGGAGCAAACAGG